Struthio camelus australis is the source of this 46-nucleotide non-coding RNA. The record is from Rfam. Lineage: Eukaryota; Metazoa; Chordata; Aves; Struthioniformes; Struthionidae.
CAAAAAGCUCCUCUAGGAGCUACUUUUUUGUUCUGAAAAGUAGAAG